This 409-nucleotide ribosomal RNA is filed under the name uncultured Nitrososphaerota archaeon. RNAcentral describes it as "bacterial SSU rRNA". It matches the Rfam family "Archaeal small subunit ribosomal RNA", at positions 452 to 861 of the family's 1478-position model. The record is from RNAcentral. Lineage: Archaea; Thermoproteati; Nitrososphaerota.
CUGGUGUCAGCCGCCGCGGUAAUACCAGCACCUCGAGUGGUCAGGACGUUUAUUGGGCCUAAAGCAUCCGUAGCCGGCUCUGCAAGUCUUCGGUUAAAUCCACCUGCUCAACAGAUGGGCUGCUGGAGAUACUACAGAGCUAGGGAGUGGGAGAGGCAGACGGUAUUCAGUGGGUAGGGGUAAAAUCCUCUGAUCCAUUGAGGACCACCAGUGGCGAAGGCGGUCUGCCAGAACACGUUCGACGGUGAGGGAUGAAAGCUGGGGGAGCAAACCGGAUUAGAUACCCGGGUAGUCCCAGCUGUAAACGAUGCAGACUCGGUGAUGGGUUGGCUUCGAGCCAACCCAGUGCCGCAGGGAAGCCGUUAAGUCUGCCGCCUGGGGAGUACGGUCGCAAGACUGAAACUUAAAG